UNUGACUUGAGUGCAGAAGGGGAGAGUGGAAUUCCAUGUGUAGCGGUGAAAUGCGUAGAUAUAUGGAGGAACACCAGUGGCGAAAGCGGCUCUCUGGUCUGUCACUGACGCUGAGGCUCGAAAGCGUGGGUAGCGAACAGGAUUAGAUACCCUGGUAGUCCACGCCGUAAACGAUGAGUGCUAGGUGUUAGGCCCUUUCCGGGGCUUAGUGCCGGAGCUAACGCAAUAAGCACUCCGCCUGGGGAGUACGACCGCAAGGUUGAAACUCAAAGGAAUUGACGGGGGCCCGCACAAGCGGUGGAGCAUGUGGUUUAAUUCGAAGCAACGCGAAGAACCUUACCAGGUCUUGACAUCCCGAUGCUAUUCUUAGAGAUAGGAAGUUACUUCGGUACAUCGGAGACAGGUGGUGCAUGGUUGUCGUCAGCUCGUGUCGUGAGAUGUUGGGUUAAGUCCCGCAACGAGCGCAACCCUUAUUGUUAGUUGCCAUCAUUAAGUUGGGCACUCUAGCGAGACUGCCGGUAAUAAACCGGAGGAAGGUGGGGAUGACGUCAAAUCAUCAUGCCCCUUAUGACCUGGGCUACACACGUGCUACAAUGGUCGGUACAACGAGUUGCGAGCCGGUGACGGCAAGCUAAUCUCUGAAAGCCGAUCUCAGUUCGGAUUGGAGGCUGCAACUCGCCUCCAUGAAGUCGGAAUCGCUAGUAAUCGCGGAUCAGCACGCCGCGGUGAAUACGUUCCCGGGCCUUGUACACACCGCCCGUCACACCACGAGAGUUUGUAACACCCGAAGUCGGUGAG
RNAcentral lists this ribosomal RNA (798 nucleotides) under uncultured bacterium. RNAcentral describes it as "bacterial SSU rRNA". It matches the Rfam family "Bacterial small subunit ribosomal RNA", at positions 636 to 1434 of the family's 1533-position model. The record is from RNAcentral.